Molecule: ribosomal RNA, 1039 nt
Filed under: Facetotecta sp.
Lineage: Eukaryota; Metazoa; Arthropoda; Thecostraca
Description: partial large subunit ribosomal RNA
Rfam family: Eukaryotic large subunit ribosomal RNA
Source: RNAcentral
UGAUGGAAAGUUGAAAAGAACUUUGAAGAGAGGGUUCAAGAGUACGUGAAACCGCCAUGGGAAAAAACGAAUGGGGCCUCGAAGGCAGGACGUCGGGGAUUCAGCCGAACGGGUCGGGCGGACGCGCGUCUUCGAUCGCAAGGCGAAGCGCGCGCUCCGCUCCGACUCCGGACGGUGCACUUCCCCGACGCCGGACGCUGCGACCGGUCGGACGGCUGCCAACGGGCGGCGCGGGAGACCGCCGGACGGACCAGUCCGCCGGCGAACCGCGACUCUCCGGCAGUCCGUCCGACCGUUUCCGAAAGGUUGGGCGCCCGCGCACGACGCGUCGGUCCUCUCACGAACUCCGACGGCGGCGCCCGGCUCGGCAGCGAGUAGGUCGGCGACCCAUCCGACCCGUCUUGAAACACGGACCAAGGAGUCUAACAUGUGCGCGAGUGAUCGGGUGUCCCGAGACCCGAACGCACAAUGAAAGUGAAGGCCCGGAUUGCCGGGCCGAGGGGCGAUCCCGCCUGACGGGCGCAGCCCCGGGACGCGCUGAUCGCAUUGUCGACGGCUCGUACCCAGAGCGUACACGUUGGGACCCGAAAGAUGGUGAACUAUGCCUGGCCAGGACGAAGUCAGAGGAAACUCUGAUGGAGGUCCGUAGCGAUUUUGACGUGCAAAUCAAUCGUCCGAGCUGGGUAUAGGGGCGAAAGACUAAUCGAACCAUCUAGUAGCUGGAUCCAUCCGAAGUUUCCCUCAGGAUAGCUGGCGCUCGCANGACCGAGUUUCAUCCGGUAAAGCGAAUGAUUAGAGGCCUUGGGGCCGAAACGANCUCAACCUAUUCUCAAACUUUAAAUGGGUGAGAAGUCGGGCUUGCUCGACUGAAGCACCGACCNUNGAAUCNAGAGUGCCAAGUGGGCCACUUUUGGUAAGCAGAACUGGCGCUGUGGGAUGAACCAAACGCAGAGUUAAGGUGCCCGAGAGAACGCUCAUCAGAUCCCAUGAAAGGUGUUGGUUGCUAUAGACAGCAGGACGGUGGCCAUGGAAGUCGGAA